UCCCUUUUAUGUUAUACAACAAAGGAAAUAACCCAACUGAAGAAACAAAUCAAAUUUGAUACAGCAAAAUCCGCAUACCAGAUCGACCUAGAGACCGAGAAGGAAGUCCAAAAAUUCUAAAUUUGGUGAAGUAAAUUUGAUUUUGGCGGGUCAAAGAGGCGGGAGCCAAAUCAUGAAGCAAGGGUUUAUCAUUCUAUGUCUUUCAUUCCAUCCUUAUCUAUCAUCUACACCACAAAUUCGCUGUGUUUUCAUCUUCUACGAUUAGAGUUCAUUAGUUGGACAAGCUAUUGGAGCUCAUGUUGCUUGGCCUGCUCCAUUUGUGAUUUCGCAAGUUAUGAAUGCUAGCCGAGAAUAUUUAUACAAGUGAGGUUGAGAGUUUGGGAAUUGAUUUUGUUUUGAUAAUUUGUCUCUCUGGAAUAUGGAUGUCACUAUGGCUUUUCAGAACUUAUGGUUGGUAUAAUUUUCUUUUUAAUUUUUUUUGCUUUAACUUUGUUAGUGUAGUAAAAUAUUUUAUAAUUUCGGUAAGGGAUUUUUAUUGCAAUAUAAAU
Camellia sinensis is the source of this 548-nucleotide non-coding RNA. The record is from RefSeq and is a predicted model, not a curated record. NCBI's taxonomy places the organism in Eukaryota, Viridiplantae, Streptophyta, Magnoliopsida, Ericales, Theaceae.